Molecule: long non-coding RNA, 1466 nt
Organism: Crotalus tigris (Tiger rattlesnake)
Lineage: Eukaryota; Metazoa; Chordata; Lepidosauria; Squamata; Viperidae
Exons: 2
Source: RefSeq, a predicted model, not a curated record
GUUGGGGGUCGCGGCAUUAAAAAGGUUGAGAACCACUGCCUUAGAGGGGAAAUCCUGUAGUUGCCUACCCCUGCCCUUGAUCAUAAGCUUUAUACUGUUUUAAUCUCAUUUUUAGAUUUAAUUAUAGGAAAGAAGAAUCUUGCAGUGUUUGCUCCUUCUGAACAGUUUCACUAGGAGUAGGCUUUCACAACAAGUAUUUGUUAGGCAGUGUUGGGCUUCAGCAUUUAGUCACUGUGGUCUAGAUCACAGAUUUCCUGACAUUUUGCUGUGGCUGGCAUCUUGAGAUGCAAGAUGACCAGCAGACCACAGGCAACAAAGCAGGAAAUGACUGGGCUGUUGCCUUUACAGGCAGGUGUCCUGACUUUUGAUUAACCAACUGCUCAACAGUUUCACUAGGAACUGGAAAAGACAUAUUUGAGCAACGCUUCAGAAACAAAUAUAGAUAACACAUUAUUUAAAUGUGAUUUAAUAAUUUUUUUUAUCCAGUUACCGGCAACUUUAAUGGCUAUUAUCUGUUUUUAAUAUGCUAUCCUAGUUUUGGCCAAGGCCAUCGGAGAGACUGUUACUGGAAGAACCAAGCUGGGAUUUUCAUCCCUCCAAGGAGUUUUCUAAAGUAAUUUUUUUUUUUAAAAAAGUAAAAGUGAUACAUCAAACUAUUGAAGAUAAACACACCUCUUUUAAUUGUUACCUCUCAUGCCUCCCCUGCAAACUUUCAUGGGUGUCAUUCAGUGGUUUACGGCUUGACUUAGCAGAGUAAUCUUAGAGGGCUCCAGGGCUUGGAGGAAAAAAAAAACAUGGAGACCACCUGUGAUCCACAGGUUUCCCACUGCUUCAGUCAUUAAAGUUCAGUACUGACUUUAUUUGAUGCUCUUCCAGUUACAGUAGAGGGAAAUAAUUGGAUUGACACAUUUGAAUUCUUUGGCCUGUUCUUAGAUAAAAAGAGAUCAUUCCAUAAUAAUUAGAGAACUGAAGAUUUUAUUACAGUACGUGAUAAAUAUCAUCCGUUCAGUGUGUUUCUCAAAUCUUUAUAUUCUUUAUAAAUGCUAUCUGCUUGCAGUAGAGCAAGAAUGGGCACAACAUGAAAAUAUGCUUAAUUAUAGUUGUUAACUGUUCUUGAACUGUUAAAUAAUUGUAUAAAAAUCUUGGAAUGAAACUUGAUUUUUAUGGAUGUCUAAUUUGUCAUGCUAUAUUGGAAAGCAAAUCUGAAAAAUAUAGAAAAUCUAUUUUUAGACUCAAAUUUUCAGAUGCAGAAGCAACAAUUACAGCACAAACUAUUGACAAAAGACAAAACAAGAAAUUAUAAUGUACUAUGUACAAACUUUUGAAACUAUAAAACAUGUUGGCUGUUCUCAUUUUGUAAAGCGAUAUUGUAGAAAAUAAUAUAUUAUUUUGAAUGUACAGCAGAAUAUUAUAUUGAAUGGUACAUAAUAUUAACACUACAAAUAAAUAUUUCUUUAUCCAGUAAA